This 285-nucleotide long non-coding RNA is filed under the name Helianthus annuus (common sunflower). RNAcentral's name for it is "hypothetical non coding rna". Lineage: Eukaryota; Viridiplantae; Streptophyta; Magnoliopsida; Asterales; Asteraceae. The record is from RNAcentral.
UAGUCGUAAAUGAUUAUGACAAAUCUAACCAUCUUACAAAUUUCAAUGAUAGUUUGACGUUUGACAAGCUAGGUGGAAGCUUGGGAAUGAAGCAGGUCAAACGAGUCAAGAAUGAAGGAAAAGCAUAAUUUGGAUGCUAGGUACUAAUUGAGUUACCGGAGGACGAUCAAGCUCAACGAAGAACCGAACACAUAAAGAACAAAGCUUCCACGAAAUGAUUCGUCGUCAUGUUUUAAACGGCGAAUGUUCUAUAAAAUGUGGAAAUGUUUUAUUUCUUAAAAUGUU